CCCUUAGAUGUCCUGAGCCGCACGCGCGCUACACUGAGUGUCUGAGAUACGAGUCUGCCUGGUCCGGCAAGGUCUAGGUAAUCGCUAAAAGACACAUCAUGCUUGGGAUAGAUUAUUGCAAAUAUUAAUCUUGAACGAGGAAUUCCUAGUAAGCGCAAGUCAACAGCUUGCGUUGAUUACGUCCCUGCCCUUUGUACACACCGCCCGUCGCUACUACUGAUUGGAUGUUUAAGCGAGGUUCUCGAACUGCUAGCGACUUAGCUUCGGUGAGGUCGCAGUGUGGGAAGUGAACCUAGCUUUGGUGUCUAGAGGAAGUAAAAGUCGUAACA
This 329-nucleotide ribosomal RNA is filed under the name uncultured eukaryote. RNAcentral describes it as "partial 18S ribosomal RNA". It matches the Rfam family "Eukaryotic small subunit ribosomal RNA", at positions 1470 to 1796 of the family's 1831-position model. The record is from RNAcentral.